AUUGUACGCUGGCGGCAGGCCUAACACAUGCAAGUCGAACGAGUGGCGGACGGGUGAGUAAUGUCUGGGAAACUGCCCGAUGGAGGGGGAUAACUACUGGAAACGGUAGCUAAUACCGCAUACCAUCGGAUGUGCCCAGAUGGGGUUAGCUAUUAGGGGGGGUAACGGCUCACCUAGGCGACGAUCCCUAGCUGGUCUGAGAGGAUGACCAGCCAAACUGGAACGACGCCACGGUCCAGACUCCUGCGGGAGGCAGCAGUGGGGAAUGUUGCACAAUGGGCGCAAGCCUGAUGCAGCCAUGCCGCGUGUAUGAAGAAGGCCGUCGGGUUGGAAAAUACUUUCAGCGAGGAGGCGUUACUCGCAGAAGAAGCACCGGCUAACUCCGUGCCAGCAGCCGCGGUAAUAC
RNAcentral lists this ribosomal RNA (406 nucleotides) under uncultured bacterium. Its description in RNAcentral is "partial 16S ribosomal RNA". It matches the Rfam family "Bacterial small subunit ribosomal RNA", at positions 30 to 526 of the family's 1533-position model. The record is from RNAcentral.